CAGGCCAGAGGAGUGCAGAACAGUGAGCUGCUGCUGAGGGGAGAGAGGAUGGCCUGAGAGCUGACCUAAGAGGCAGGGCUGGCUGUGUUACAGCAGCCUCUGUGUCCUCCUGCUUUGUCUGUGAGGGCCAGAGGGCCAGAAGAGAACAUGCCCAGACAACGAAACCCUGCUGUCCUCUGCUGCUCAGCUGGAGAGAUGUUCCGCCUUCCUGAAGGACGCUGAUACAAAGAUAAGUAAUCAAAGUGAGUCCAGGCUGGCUGUCCUUGUGGGCAUCAGCUGCUGGCAGCUGCCUCUGUGCUGCCAUGGGCAGGGCACAGCACACACAGUGUUUGCAGUUCCCUAUGUGACACUGGCCCUGGUGACCUGACAGCCAUAGGGAGACAGUAGAAAGAGCUGCCUCCCUCUGCCAGAUUAGGCAAAGAAAUAUUUGAUGCUUCUUUAUGAAAGUCAUCCUAACAAAAGUGUACUGAUGUCUUUGCUGAGGAUUUCCUUGGUUCCAGCCUGAAGGUGUGCGCAGGCAUGAGCAGGCAGUGCUGAGCUGCAGAAAAAUAGAGGAGAGUGUGCCCUCACCUUGGACCCCUCCUGCCCUCUUCUGCUGAGAUGGAGAAAUGUCCCAGUUCUAGAAGGACAUCAGGACAAAGAUAUGUAAUGAAAAUAAGUCAAGGCUGCCUGUACUUGAGGGCUUCAGCUGCUGGCGUCUGUAGGCAUCAGGAAGGAUGGAAAGGCUGGUGUUUGCCAUGGGCAGGGAAACACAUCUGGUUUUCCUCUUCUCUUUGUCUUUUGAGUGCCAGAGGCCAGGAGGAUUCCUGUUUCCAUGGACUAUCAGCAAAUUUUCUUUCACUUUGCCGAUCAUACAUUCUUCUGGACCCUGAGGAUCCACCUGACAAUUUGCCAAUAGUUCUAACUAGACAAACACAGACUGAAGAAUCUCUCAGUUUUCAGCAUGUCCUCAUCAGGUGGCAGUUUGGUCCUCUCCUCCAGGCUGCAUGA
RNAcentral lists this long non-coding RNA (990 nucleotides) under Phasianus colchicus (ring-necked pheasant). Its description in RNAcentral is "lncRNA (ENSPCLG00000013864.1)". The record is from RNAcentral. Lineage: Eukaryota; Metazoa; Chordata; Aves; Galliformes; Phasianidae.